This is a long non-coding RNA of Dendrobium catenatum, 1098 nucleotides long. RefSeq lists it as uncharacterized. The record is from RefSeq and is a predicted model, not a curated record. Lineage: Eukaryota; Viridiplantae; Streptophyta; Magnoliopsida; Asparagales; Orchidaceae. The transcript has 2 exons.
UUAUCCCGCGGAACAGACAGUUCGCGGAACCGAACAAUCGCGCGAACAGGAAGGGGCGGACGGUCGGGAAUUCACGCGAGAGCAAGGUAGAAUUCGUUUUCUUCCAAUUUUAGCAAACGAGCGCGUUGGAGAGUAAGAUUUAACAACUCCUUUUCGUUCUUAUUGUUAUAGAAACAAAGGUUGGAGAGAAUUUGCAACGAAAGGAAGAAACGACCGAGGAAAAAUAAGGAAAAAGGUUUGUUGAAAUUUCUUUUAGAUUUUCCUAUAAAUUUCUUCUCCUCCUUCGUUUAAAGUGAGCGAUAUAUUUCUUGAAGGUUAAGGAAGGGAUUGAAGCGAGGAAAAAGGAAAUUUCGGGAAGAAGGAUUUUGGGAGAUUUGGAAAAUCCAAUUAGAUUUGGAGAGAAAUUCGAAGUAACACCCUUCGUCGAAGACCUGAAAAGUUCAAGUGGGUAUUUUUAAAAGUUUAAAAUUUCUUUAUUUCCAUUCUAUUUUUGUUUAGAAAGAAGUAUAUGCGAAAUUGAUAGAUGUAUGAUUUUUUUCUACUUUUGGAGAAAUAGUUAACUAAAAUAAGCAACGACAUGUAUGAGUACAAUUAUAGAAAAGAAAAAGGAUAUGUUAUGAGUAUAUCAAAGAAUUAGAAAGUAAAGUUUAGAAAGAAAAUAUAUACAUGUACAUGAUUCGUAUAUGUAAAUGACAAGUAAUAUUUAUAGAGAUACAAGUAAGAUGUGUUGUAUGCAAUUGUAUCAAUAACGAUGAAAAUGAGAAAAGAAAAGAAUAAAGGAAAAGGGUAUUGAAAACGACAGGAGUCACCCCCUUAUGGUACUGGCUGGGGACGCCGUACUCGUGCACGAAAAAGGAAAAGGAAAUUUCUAUGGAAAUGGGGAAAAGGAAAUUAAAUGGAAAAGGUUGUACCUUUAGGUACUUUGAGACGGUGCUCCUGUGCAAAUUAAAUGGGAAAAGGAAAUGUAAAUGAAAUAUCAAAGAUAACAAAUGCUUCAAAUUAUUUUAAAUGAAAAUAUUCAAAGAAGUAUUAAGUUAAAGAAUUGAAAUAAACAAGAUUAAGAAAGGAAAGAAUAUAUGUUAAUUUAUAUUUUUAUAU